RNAcentral lists this ribosomal RNA (484 nucleotides) under uncultured bacterium. RNAcentral's name for it is "partial 16S ribosomal RNA". It matches the Rfam family "Bacterial small subunit ribosomal RNA", at positions 30 to 507 of the family's 1533-position model. The record is from RNAcentral.
AUUGAACGCUGGCGGCAGGCCUAACACAUGCAAGUCGAGCGGAUGAAGGGAGCUUGCUCCUGGAUUCAGCGGCGGACGGGUGAGUAAUGCCUAGGAAUCUGCCUGGUAGUGGGGGAUAACGUCCGGAAACGGGAGCUAAUACCGCAUACGUCCUGUGGGAGAAAGUGGGGGAUCUUCGGACUUCACGCUAUCAGAUGAGCCUAGGUCGGAUUAGCUAGUUGGUGGGGUAAAGGCCUACCAAGGCGACGAUCCGUAACUGGUCUGAGAGGAUGAUCAGUCACACUGGAACUGAGACACGGUCCAGACUCCUACGGGAGGCAGCAGUGGGGAAUAUUGGACAAUGGGCGAAAGCCUGAUCCAGCCAUGCCGCGUGUGUGAAGAAGGUCUUCGGAUUGUAAAGCACUUUAAGUUGGGAGGAAGGGCAGUAAGUUAAUACCUUGCUGUUUUGACGUUACCAACAGAAUAAGCACCGGCUAACUUCGUG